Molecule: ribosomal RNA, 493 nt
Filed under: uncultured bacterium
Lineage: Bacteria
Description: partial 16S ribosomal RNA
Rfam family: Bacterial small subunit ribosomal RNA
Source: RNAcentral
GACGAACGCUGGCGGCGUGCUUAACACAUGCAAGUCGAACGGUCAAGCACCUUCCUUUUGGUGGGUGUGGAUGAGUGGCGAACGGGUGAGUAACACGUGAGUAACCUGCCCCCUUCUUCUGGAUAACCGCAUGAAAGUGUGGCUAAUACGGGAUAUUCUGGGUCUGUCGCAUGGCGGGCCUGGGAAAGCUAUUGUUUCGGUGGGGGAUGGGCUCGCGGUCUAGCAGCUUGUUGGUGGGGUGAUGGCCUACCAAGGCGGUGACGGGUAGCCGGCCUGAGAGGGUCGACGGCAACACUGGUGCGGAGACACGGAGCAGACUCCGACGGGAGGCAGCAGGGGGGAAUACUGAACGAUGGGCGCAAGGCUGAUGCAGCGACGCGGCGGGAGGGAUGGAGGCCGUCGGGUAGUAAACCGCUUUCGCCAGUGAAGCAGGCCUGGCCCUUUUGUGGGUGGGUUGACGGUAGCUGGAUAAGAAGCGCCGGCUAACUACGUG